AGAAUCAACGCUGGCGGCGUGCCUAACACAUGCAAGUCGAACGAGAAAGUGGAGCAAUCCAUGAGUAAAGUGGCGCACGGGUGAGUAACACGUGACUAACCUACCCUUGAGUGGGGGAUAACCUAGGGAAACCUGGGCUAAUACCGCAUAAUACCUUCGGGUCAAAGGAGCAAUUCGCUUAAGGAGGGGGUCGCGGCCGAUUAGUUAGUUGGCGGGUAAUGGCCCACCAAGACUGUGAUCGGUAU
This 245-nucleotide ribosomal RNA is filed under the name uncultured bacterium. RNAcentral's name for it is "partial small subunit ribosomal RNA". It matches the Rfam family "Bacterial small subunit ribosomal RNA", at positions 26 to 286 of the family's 1533-position model. The record is from RNAcentral.